GACGUAGGGGGUGAGCGUUCUCCGGAUUUACUGGGCGUAAAGCGCAUGCAGGCGGUCCAGCAAGUCUCUGCUGACAAUCCUCAGCUUAACUGAGGAAGGCGUAGGGAAACUGCUGAACUUGAGUCACCAAGAGGCAGAGGGAAUUCCGUGUGGAGCAGUGAAAUGCGUAGAGAUGCGGAGGAACACCAGAGGCGAAGGCGCUCUGCUGGGGGUGUACUGACGCUCAGAUGCGAAAGCCAGGGGAG
Molecule: ribosomal RNA, 245 nt
Filed under: uncultured bacterium
Lineage: Bacteria
Description: partial 16S ribosomal RNA
Rfam family: Bacterial small subunit ribosomal RNA
Source: RNAcentral